GACGAACGCUGGCGGCGUGCUUAGCACAUGCAAGUCGAACGGAAAGGCCCUGCUUUUGUGGGGUGCUCGAGUGGCGAACGGGUGAGUAACACGUGAGUAACCUGCCCUUGACUUUGGGAUAACUUCAGGAAACUGGGGCUAAUACCGGAUAGGAGCUCCUGCUGCAUGGUGGGGGUUGGAAAGUUUCGGCGGUUGGGGAUGGACUCGCGGCUUAUCAGCUUGUUGGUGGGGUAGUGGCUUACCAAGGCUUUGACGGGUAGCCGGCCUGAGAGGGUGACCGGCCACAUUGGGACUGAGAUACGGCCCAGACUCCUACGGGAGGCAGCAGUGGGGAAUAUUGCACAAUGGGCGGAAGCCUGAUGCAGCAACGCCGCGUGCGGGAUGACGGCCUUCGGGUUGUAAACCGCUUUCGCCUGUGACGAAGCGUGAGUGACGGUAAUGGGUAAAGAAGCACCGGCUAACUACGUGCCAGCAGCCGCGGUGAUACGUAGGGUGCGAGCGUUGUCCGGAUUUAUUGGGCGUAAAGGGCUCGUAGGUGGUUGAUCGCGUCGGAAGUGUAAUCUUGGGGCUUAACCCUGAGCGUGCUUUCGAUACGGGUUGACUUGAGGAGGGUAGGGGAGAAUGGAAUUCCUGGUGGAGCGGUGGAAUGCGCAGAUAUCAGGAGGAACACCAGUGGCGAAGGCGGUUCUCUGGGCCUUUCCUGACGCUGAGGAGCGAAAGCGUGGGGAGCGAACAGGCUUAGAUACCCUGGUAGUCCACGCUGUAAACGGUGGGUACUAGGUGUGGGGUCCAUUCCACGGGUUCCGUGCCGUAGCUAACGCUUUAAGUACCCCGCCUGGGGAGUACGGCCGCAAGGCUAAAACUCAAAGGAAUUGACGGGGCCCCGCACAAGCGGCGGAGCAUGCGGAUUAAUUCGAUGCAACGCGUAGAACCUUACCUGGGUUUGACAUGGAUCGGGAGUGCUCAGAGAUGGGUGUGCCUCUUUUGGGGUCGGUUCACAGGUGGUGCAUGGCUGUCGUCAGCUCGUGUCGUGAGAUGUUGGGUUAAGUCCCGCAACGAGCGCAGCCCUUGUUCACUGUUGCCAGCACGUUAUGGUGGGGACUCAGUGGAGACCGCCGGGGUCAACUCGGAGGAAGGUGGGGAUGACGUCAAGUCAUCAUGCCCCUUAUGUCCAGGGCUUCACGCAUGCUACAAUGGCUGGUACAGAGAGUGGCGAGCCUGUGAGGGUGAGCGAAUCUCGGAAAGCCGGUCUCAGUUCGGAUUGGGGUCUGCAACUCGACCUCAUGAAGUCGGAGUCGCUAGUAAUCGCAGAUCAGCAACGCUGCGGUGAAUACGUUCCCGGGGCUUGUACACACCGCCCGUCAAGUCAUGAAAGUUGGUAACACCCGAAGCCGGUGGCCUAACCGUUGUGGGGGAGCCGUCGAAGGUGGGACUGGUGAUUAGGACUAAGUCGUAACAAGGUAGCCGUACCGGAAGG
This 1477-nucleotide ribosomal RNA is filed under the name uncultured bacterium. RNAcentral's name for it is "16S ribosomal RNA". It matches the Rfam family "Bacterial small subunit ribosomal RNA". The record is from RNAcentral.